GGAGGGUGCAAGCGUUAUCCGGAUUUAUUGGGUUUAAAGGGUCCGUAGGCGGACUCGUAAGUCAGUGGUGAAAUCUCACAGCUCAACUGUGAAACUGCCAUUGAUACUGCGGGUCUUGAGUAAGGUAGAAGUGGCUGGAAUAAGUAGUGUAGCGGUGAAAUGCAUAGAUAUUACUUAGAACACCAAUUGCGAAGGCAGGUCACUAUGUCUUAACUGACGCUGAUGGACGAAAGCGUGGGGGAGCGAACAGGAUUAGAUACCCUGGUAGUCCACGCCGUAAACGAUGCUAACUCGUUUUUGGGUCUUCGGAUUCAGAGACUAAGCGAAAGUGAUAAGUUAGCCACCUGGGGAUACGUUCGCAAGAAUG
RNAcentral lists this ribosomal RNA (367 nucleotides) under uncultured organism. Its description in RNAcentral is "partial 16S ribosomal RNA". It matches the Rfam family "Bacterial small subunit ribosomal RNA", at positions 527 to 896 of the family's 1533-position model. The record is from RNAcentral.